UCACAAUCGCCGGCCUGAGGCGCAUUGAGGAAUCGCCUGUCCGCCGUGCAGGAACCGUGCGUGGACGAGCCCUCGUUCACUGCGCCCCCGGCGCAGCGCGGGGGGACAGCGCGGGGGCGUUGGCUCCGCGCCCGCUGCCUGCAGCCCGCGGGCCGUGCGGGACGGAGGCCACCGCCUCGCUGGCCGUGCGUUGACGCCGGGAUUGCCGCCCUGGGCGCCGCCCUCCGGGUGCUUUAGCCGGUGGCACUCGAGUGUCACCGUGCGCUACCCCUCGGUGCUGGCACCAGGCUCAGGGUGAGACCGUGGUAUGGCGCAGCUUGUGCUGCAGGCACCCCAUGGUGUGUUCCACCGUGCUUGUCCUGAGAGCUCUCGCGUCUCGGCACUGCCGGCUGGCCCUGCCUGCCAUCUGCAAACACUCUAGGCUUCUCACAGUCUUCUUCCACAUUUGGGAGGCCACAGCUACAAGCCAAGCCUUUGCUGCAUCUCUUAACCCAGAGGAGGAUCAGCUAUCGUCCUUCCCAGAAGGAAGAGUGACCUCCCCCCCACCUCUUUCUCUAAAUUGUUUGCAAAGCAAAAGGAGGGAGCACUACAGAUUCUGUUUGUGA
This 605-nucleotide long non-coding RNA is filed under the name Zonotrichia albicollis (white-throated sparrow). RNAcentral's name for it is "lncRNA (ENSZALG00000007392.1)". Lineage: Eukaryota; Metazoa; Chordata; Aves; Passeriformes; Passerellidae. The record is from RNAcentral.